RNAcentral lists this transfer RNA (72 nucleotides) under Fukomys damarensis (Damara mole-rat). It matches the Rfam family "tRNA". From Rfam's summary of the family: Transfer RNA (tRNA) molecules are approximately 80 nucleotides in length. Their secondary structure includes four short double-helical elements and three loops (D, anti-codon, and T loops). Lineage: Eukaryota; Metazoa; Chordata; Mammalia; Rodentia; Bathyergidae. The record is from Rfam by way of RNAcentral.
GGAGAUGUAGCUCAGUAGUAGAGAAAUUGUUUGGCAUGUGUGAGGCCCUGGGUUCAAUUCUCAGCAGCACCA